GACAGAGGGGGCAAGCGUUGCUCGGAAUUACUGGGCGCAAAGGGCGCGUAGGCGGGAUGGCAAGUCGGUCGUGAAAUCCUUCGGCUCAACCGAAGAACGUCGAUCGAUACUGCUGUUCUUGAGGGUUGCAGAGGAGACUGGAAUUCCCGGUGUAGCGGUGAAAUGUGUAGAGAUCGGGAGGAACACCAGAGGCGAAGGCGGCGACCUGGACAGAUACUGACACUCAACUGCGAAAGCGUGGGGAGCAAACAGG
Molecule: ribosomal RNA, 253 nt
Filed under: uncultured bacterium
Lineage: Bacteria
Description: partial 16S ribosomal RNA
Rfam family: Bacterial small subunit ribosomal RNA
Source: RNAcentral